RNAcentral lists this ribosomal RNA (254 nucleotides) under uncultured bacterium. Its description in RNAcentral is "partial 16S ribosomal RNA". It matches the Rfam family "Bacterial small subunit ribosomal RNA", at positions 524 to 776 of the family's 1533-position model. The record is from RNAcentral.
UACGUAGGGGGCAAGCGUUGUCCGGAAUCAUUGGGCGUAAAGCGCUCGUAGGCGGUCUGUUGCGUCCGCUGUGAAAACUUGGGGCUUAACCCUGAGCUUGCGGUCGAUACGGGCAUGACUGGAGUUCGGCAGGGGAGACUGGAAUUCCUGGUGUAGCGGUGAAAUGCGCAGAUAUCAGGAGGAACACCGGUGGCGAAGGCGGGUCUCUGGGCCGAUACUGACGCUGAGGAGCGAAAGCGUGGGGAGCGAACAGG